RNAcentral lists this small RNA (284 nucleotides) under Peribacillus simplex. RNAcentral describes it as "5' ureB small RNA". It matches the Rfam family "5' ureB small RNA". Lineage: Bacteria; Bacillati; Bacillota; Bacilli; Caryophanales; Bacillaceae. The record is from RNAcentral.
GUCUCGAUUUGCUGCGGGGCAAUGAAAUGGAUGUGGGCAUCAAUACCUCCAGCUGUAACGAUCUUACCUUCAGCUGCAAUUAUUUCGGUAGCUGCUCCUAUCACCAUUGUCACCCCAUCCAUCAAUAGGGGAUUUCCCGCUUUUCCUAUAGCUGCAAUAUUUCCAUCCUUCACGCCAAUGUCCGCUUUAUAAACGCCUGUAUAAUCGAUGAUGAUCGCGUUGGUAAAAACAAGAUCCAUCACCUCAUCUCUUGAAGCGGUUGGAUGUUGCCCCAUACCAUCACG